Molecule: long non-coding RNA, 790 nt
Organism: Zalophus californianus (California sea lion)
Lineage: Eukaryota; Metazoa; Chordata; Mammalia; Carnivora; Otariidae
Exons: 1
Source: RefSeq, a predicted model, not a curated record
CACCGGGCGCGCUAACUCCCCGGCCUUGCCGCGAUCCCGUGCAUCCCACCCCCCACCCUCUCCGCCAGACUGCGAAGUUUCAGCCCUGGCACGUGACGCGGCGCUCAGGCCCCCCCCUCCCGGGGGAGGCGGCGACACAGACCGCUGGGCGGCGGGGGUCGCGUCCACCGAGGCGGUGAUGGCCUGCAGGGCGAGUGCAGGCGGGAGGCUGGUUGGACUUCAUCCUUGACUGUUCCCUGUCUGCGCCCCUUCCCGCCUCGCGUUCGGCGAUGACGGUGGAGUCACCUUUUGGAAUGCUGUCUAUUUGGCAGUGUCACGGGAGCUGGGGAGGACCUUUGAUCGCUUGGGACUCGGCACGACGCUUUGUUGACACCACCUACACUGUCCCUGAGUUUAGUAGUUGGACCUUCGUCCCUCACUUGGGUGCACCGUGUGUUACUGCCGGGCUUUUCCUGGAGGGACACCGGUCCCUGCUCUUUACCCAUUUGAUGGCGCAGUGCAGGGCUGAGCUGGGAACCGAUGCUGGGAAAAGGGGCCGUUAAAGGAAGAUGGGGGGGGGCGGGUAAUGAGUGCGCAGUGCCGGGAAGAGGCCAGAGAGAAACGACCCAUUUCAUUUUUUCACGCCUCUUUCUUUCUGCUUGCCUUCUUGGGAUCUGAGUCUUGAUUUUUUUUGUUGUUGUUAAUGGAUGAGACAAGUGACAUCUAUCGCCUGAACUUUAUCUGUGUCAGUGUUAAACACUUAGGUCAUAGCUUUCCAGAACAGCUUGCUUUGGACAUAGCAUGCCUUAUU